This 253-nucleotide ribosomal RNA is filed under the name uncultured bacterium. RNAcentral's name for it is "partial 16S ribosomal RNA". It matches the Rfam family "Bacterial small subunit ribosomal RNA", at positions 524 to 776 of the family's 1533-position model. The record is from RNAcentral.
GACAGAGGGUGCAAGCGUUGUUCGGAAUUAUUGGGCGUAAAGCGCGCGUAGGCGGCCAUCUAAGUCGCAUGUGAAAGCCCAGGGCUCAACCCUGGAAGUGCAUGCGAUACUGGACGGCUGGAGUCCUGGAGAGGGUGGUGGAAUUCCUGGUGUAGAGGUGAAAUUCGUAGAUAUCAGGAGGAACACCGGUGGCGAAGGCGACCACCUGGACAGGUACUGACGCUGAGGUGCGAAAGCGUGGGGAGCAAACAGG